CUAUCUAAACCCCGCCAUCCCUGGUUUCUUCCAACAGAGCUCCGAGUGAGGAGCCCAUCCUUCCACUUCCCCUCCGCUCCUCCGGCGCUCAAUCUCGAAUGUAACUGUAACACUACAUCCCAUAACUUUGUAAUCCAUGGAAUCACUUCUUAUCUCCAACUCGCUUUCGUCCCUGCAACUUUUACCCAUUUUACAUCCAUCACCCCACUCCUUCGUCCUCCCCCCCGGCCGUCGGCGCCGCCUUCUCAUUCACGCCGCAGCAGCAACGCCUCCUAGACCGUUACACUUUCCCCGUAUUUCCCUCUUUUCCUCCCUUUUUCGUAGUCUCCAACCUCCUAAAACCCCAACCAACAUUGGCAUCUCUGUUCUCGAGGGCGCCUGCAAAACAGUUGUCCUUGCGAUCUUUGUGGCAGCAGUAUCACUCCUUUCUCUCCCAGCUGCUCGCCUUCUCCCUGCCAUUGCUGCGACAACCGUGUCCGAGAAGGCCAAGAAGGAUGAGACCACGACGGGCCACGAAUUCUCCGGCUAUACCCGAAGAUUGUUAUCCGUUGUUUCAGUCCUUUUGAGAAGAAUGGAAGAUGCGAAGUCUGGGAAGGGUGAUAUGGAUGGUGUUAAGAAGGCUCUUAAGGAGGUUAAGACAAGUCGGAAAAAGAUUCAGGAUGAGGUGAUUGGAAAUUUGAAUGCUGAACUGAAGGAGCUGAAGAGUGUCAUUGGGGAAUUGACUAAGAGGUCCGAGGAGGUGCUUGCUUUGGCAAGGGCGGCAAUGAACGAGAGGGACAUGCUAUCGGAGAGCUUUGAAAAUGAGCAGGAGAUGAAGGGGAGAGCGGAGGAGUUGGAGAGGAAGAUUGGUGAUUUGGAGAAGGAAUAUAAUGAUCUGUUGGUGAAAGUUGAGGAGAUUGAGGAUAGGAUGAUGAGGAGGGAGACUUUGACAUACAGCAUAGCUGUUAGAGAGCUUUCUUUCAUUGAGAAGGAGAGUGAGGUUUUGGUGCGGAGCUUUGGCCGUCGGAUGAUGGAGGUUGCACGCGUAAGUCAACAGUGGAACCCUUCUAUUCAGCUUUCUGGGAAGGACAUUCAGAAAGACUUAGAAACAGCUCAAAAGGAAUAUUGGGAACAAUUGCUACUCCCUAAGGUUUUGGAAGCUGAAGAUCCUGAAAUAUUGGUAGAUAGCAGCGCAAAAGGUUUUGCUCGAAACAUUCAACAAGUCCUUAAGGAAUCACAACAAUUGCAAAGAAAUCUGGAAGCUCAGAUAAGGAAAGAGCUAAAAAAAUAUGGUGAUGAAAAGCGUUUUCUCUUAAAAACACCAGAAACAGAAGUUCUAAAGGGCUUUCCUGAAGUUGAAUUGAAGUGGAUGUUUGGUACUAAGGAUAUUGUUGUCCCGAAAUCUGUUCGUGUUCAUUUGUAUCAUGGAUGGAAGAAAUGGCGCGAUGAAGCCAAAGCUAACUUGAAAAAGCAGUUGCUUGAGAACAUGGACGAAGGACAACAAUACAUAGCUCGAAGAAGGGAACGAAUUCUCUUAGACCGGGAGAGAUUGGUAGCUAAAACAUGGUACAAUGAUAAGAGAAAAAGGUGGGAAAUGGAUCCUGUGGCUGUUCCAUAUGCAGUUUCGAAGAAACUAAUAGAAAAUGCUCGUAUUAGACACGACUGGGCUGUUAUGUAUAUUUCACUUAAGGGAGAUGAUAAGGAAUAUUUUGUUGAUAUUAAGGAGUUUGACCUACUUUUCGAGGACUUUGGCGGAUUUGAUGGUCUCUACACCAGGAUGAUUUCGUCGGGCAUUCCAACGGCUGUUCACUUGAUGUGGAUUCCAUUCUCGGAUCUUGGUCUACGUGAACAGUUUUUCUUGAUUAGGACAAUGCUAUCUCAAGCAUUGACUGGAUUCUGGAACUGUGCUUUUAUAUCUUUUGUGAAGAAACCAGUUUUCUCUGGAGUAAAAAAUAUCACUGAUGAUUUGAUGGUUACAUUAAUUUUCCCCAUUAUGGAGUUCAUCAUUCCUAAGCCUGUGAGAAUGAUCUUAGGUUUGGCAUGGCCGGAGGAAGUAUAUCAUGCUGUUGAAUCUACUUGGUUCUUGAAAUGGCAGUCUGAGGCAGAAUUGAAUUACAGAGCUAGGAAGAGAGAUAAUUUCAACUGGUAUUUUUGGUUUAUAAUUAGAAGCAGCUUAUGUGGAUAUGUUUUAUUUCAUGUCAUUAAGUUUCUUAAGAGAAAGUUGCCAAGCUUCCUUGGAUAUGGACCCUUGAGAAGAGACCCAAACUUGAGGAAAUUGCAGAGAUUGAAAUUCUAUUUUAGGUAUAAGAAGAAUAGAAGGAUUCGAAAGAGGAAAGAGGGCGUUGAUCCUAUAAGAUCUGCGUUUGAUCAGAUGAAGAGAAUAAGGAAUCCACCUAUUAGGCUUGAUGAUUUUGCCAGCGUUGAGUCUAUGAGAGAUGAAAUCAAUGACAUUGUGACAUGCCUACAAAAUCCUGCAGCGUUCAAGGAUAAAGGAGCUCGAGCACCUAGGGGCGUUCUCAUUGUUGGAGAGAGAGGAACAGGGAAAACAUCUCUUGCAUUGGCAAUAGCUGCUGAAGCUAGAGUUCCUGUUGUUGAGGUCAAAGCUAGCCAACUAGAGGCUGGACUCUGGGUCGGCCAAAGUGCAUCAAAUGUUAGGGAGCUUUUCGAAGCUGCUAGGGAUUUGGCACCUGUGAUAAUUUUUGUGGAAGAUUUUGAUAUAUUUGCUGGUGUUCGAGGCAAGUUUAUUCACACCAAAAUGCAAGAUCAUGAGGCAUUCAUUAAUCAACUUCUUGUUGAACUUGAUGGUUUUGAAAAUCAGGAUGGUGUUGUUUUGAUGGCAACUACUCACAAUCUUAAUCAAAUUGAUGAGGCAUUGCGAAGACCGGGAAGAAUGGAUAGAGUAUUGCAUCUUCAAAGACCAACCCAACUGGAAAGGGAGAAAAUAUUACUGCUUGCAGCAAAAGAAACCAUGGAUCCUGAUCUCAUAAAUUUUGUUGAUUGGCGAAAGGUUGCUGAAAAAACAGCUUUACUCAGACCCAUUGAAUUGAAACUUGUUCCGGUUGCAUUGGAGGGUAGUGCUUUCCGAAAUAAAGUUCUUGACCCGGACGAGCUUAUGGGCUAUUGCAGCUGGUUUGUGACAUUUGGUAAUUUUAUUCCCGCAUGGUUGAGGGGAACCAAAAUUUUCAAGAGAAUAAGCAAACAUCUUGCAGAUCAUCUUGGAUUGACUUUGAGAAAGGAAGACAUGCAAUCCGUCGUUGAUUUGAUGGAGCCCUAUGGUCAGAUAAGCAAUGGAAUAGAACUUUUGAGUCCUCCAACUGUUUGGACAUGGCAAGAGAAAUUUCCACAUGCUGUUUGGGCGGCUGGUCGUGGUCUUAUUGCUAUUCUUCUACCAAACUAUGAUAUGGUUGAUAAUAUAUGGCUUGAACCAGCUGCUUGGGAGGGGAUUGGAUGCACAAAAAUUACGAAGGCUAGACAUGAAGGCUCUUUAAAUGGGAAUCUAGAAUCAAGGUCUUAUCUUGAGAAGAAAUUGGUGUUCUGCUUUGGCUCUUAUGUCGCAGCACAGCUAUUACUUCCUUUCGGGGAGGAAAAUUUUUUGUCAUCAUCUGAGAUUAAACAUGCACAAGAGAUAGCUACACGCAUGGUUCUUCAAUAUGGAUGGGGCCCUGAUGACAGUCCAGCUAUUUAUGUGACUAGCACUGCGGUUGGAACACUAAGCAUGGGAAACAAACAUGAGUUGGAGAUGGCAGCUAAAGUUGAACAGAUGUACAACCUAGGCUAUGAAAAAGCAAGGGAAAUGCUUCAGAAAAACUGUCAAGUACUUAAAAUUAUUGUGGAACAGCUGCUUGAAGUUGAGAAUUUAACGGGAGAGGAUUUGAUCGGUAUAUUUGAAGAAAAUAAUGGAGCUCGUGAGAAAGAGCCAUUCACAAUUUUAAAACACACGUAUAAGGAGAUCGCUCUGGAAAGGUCUCUUGAGGUCAAUGGCAACGCAGCAGCUGUAGCAUUUUUGAAUGUCGCCUAAAGAUGAUAGGUCAUGGAGUGAUAAUGAGUUCUCCUUUUUCAUCAGCUCUCUCAGAAGUCCUUACCUAAGUUUUCUCAUUAUUGUUCUUUGAAAGGUGACACAUGCCGCCGGACAUAUGAGUCCCACAAGAUCAAUUUGUGAAAACUAUUUGAGGGAGUUUCCUAUUUCAAUUGUAAUCUUUUUUAAUCUGUUUUUUUAUCAUAUUGUAUGUAUUUCUUUUAUUGUGAUAAGUUGUAACAGUCUUUAUUUUAUUUGCCCUAAGCAUUCCCUAUGUAAUAUGAGGAAAUGUUGUAAUUUGAAUAUGAUGGAAUAAGAGGAUAUUGUUUC
Phalaenopsis equestris is the source of this 4324-nucleotide RNA transcript. It is a transcript of the gene named probable inactive ATP-dependent zinc metalloprotease FTSHI 5, chloroplastic, with no coding region annotated. The transcript has 20 exons. The record is from RefSeq and is a predicted model, not a curated record. NCBI's taxonomy places the organism in Eukaryota, Viridiplantae, Streptophyta, Magnoliopsida, Asparagales, Orchidaceae.